This 253-nucleotide ribosomal RNA is filed under the name uncultured bacterium. Its description in RNAcentral is "partial 16S ribosomal RNA". It matches the Rfam family "Bacterial small subunit ribosomal RNA", at positions 524 to 776 of the family's 1533-position model. The record is from RNAcentral.
UACGGGGGGGGCAAGCGUUGUUCGGAAUUACUGGGCGUAAAGGGCUCGUAGGCGGCUUUGCAAGUGACGGGUGAAAUCCCUCGGCUUAACCGAGGAACUGCCUGUCAGACUGUAAGGCUUGAGGCCGGGAGAGGUGAGUGGAAUUCCCAGUGUAGCGGUGAAAUGCGUAGAUAUUGGGAGGAACACCAGUGGCGAAGGCGGCUCACUGGACCGGUACUGACGCUGAGGCGCGAAAGCGUGGGGAGCAAACAGG